AUGAGGGUAACACUUGAAUACUCCUACUAAUGGAGGAUUUAUAGUCUGAAUUGUCAUCUUUUGUAGUGAGGCAAGGCUUCCAGUGGAGGCCUUGGGUUACUUUUAAUUAAGUUGAUUGGCUGAGAUCCCUAAGCAACCAAGUUUGAUGCUAGGACAGAAGGUUGCUUUAUGAAAUCUGAAAAUGGGGGCCUAUUCCCGAGGGCAAUUUCCUUCCAGUUCAUUGAACACAGAGAAGUUGAGCUGAUGCAGGCUUGGAGUCUUCACUCCUACAUUCUAGUCUCUGUCACAAUAGGUACUCUGUGAGCUAUGCAAAGAGAAUCCUAGACACCAACCCAGUCCCAAGACCUCAAACUUACAGCCUGUCCAGCUCGCAGGAUGGGCUGGGCCAGUUGUGGUAAAGAACUUGUGAGUGAAGCCAAUCAGUGUCUGAUUUAACUUGAGGCCUACUCCUCAAGAAGGAGCUCAUACUGAACACUGCCUGAAUGACUAGGAACUGGAUGUUGGAUACCUCAGAGACCACUGCUUUUGAAAGAACUGGGCAUCUGAGGAGCAAGUCAUUUCCAUGGGACUGUUAAAUUCCCCUCCAUCUGAGGCUUUUCAUCCUGCCUCGCUUAGUCUCGAUCUCCGAGUAGAGCUGACACACUGGGCCAAGGAAACCCUUUCAAAGACAGUUACCUGUAGCUCUUCACGUAAGGAGCACAGCACCUCUUCGUCUAAGGUGACAUCUACCAUUUUACAAAGAAACUGAAAGGACUGAAAGCUUGAAUGCAGGAAUAGCUGACAGGGUCAAGGACAAGAAGAGAUCUUUCAAAGAAGUCUAAGUGAAGACUAGACCGAUGUCACAUGUUCCGGUGUACAACUGUCUCCUGAUUUCUAGUCAGCCUAAUGUAGUUCUUUAAAUCAGCAUUUCUCAAGCUUUCUAAUGUUGCAACCCUUUAAUGCCGUUCCUCAUGAUGUGGGGUGACCCCUAACCACAAAGUUAUUUUCACUGCUACUUCAUGACUGUAAUCUCCUACUGAUGUGAAUCACAAGGUAAAUGUGUGUUUCUUGGUGGCCUUAAGUAAAGGACUAUUUGAUAUACACACCCCUGCAAAGGACUCCAACCAACAGGAUGAAAACCACUGCUUGAAAUCCUGUUGAUAUGGAUCAGGACCUGUUUAAAAAAAAAACAAUAGAAGCACAGCUGAACAUGGAGGGCAGAAUUGCUUGAUUUAACAUAGGUGGGAGGUAAUUUUGGAAAACUGUAUGGAAAAUAAUGCUUUGUAAGUAUAUGUGUUUAGGUAGCAGUAUCUGUAUAUAGAUAAGAACUGCACAAUUAUUCCAAUACUUUGCUAGCAUUAAAUAUAAACAAACUUCACAAAUGUCUGUCUGUAGAGUUGUGAUUAAAUGAACUAUUGUAUACAUUUAUGCAGUUGUUUAGAUCUGCAACUGCUCCCAAAGACCAUGCAUUGAAGGCUUGGCUCUAGAUUAUGUCUGUAGGAGGUAGCAGUCUGCCUCUUAUGAUGGACGUCCCACUCGGAGAAGUUAAGUCAAGCUGGCCAUCAAGGUCUCAGACCACCUCUCUCUUUCUGUAACUGACUCUCAUUCCUUUCAGCUAUGAGGUAAAAGGCACCAACUGUGGUAUGCUGACAUUUACAGGCCAGAAACCAAUAGACAAACUGGAUGUGGACUCAACCCUCUGAAACCAUAUUUCCUGACUUUCUUUUCUAGUUGAUUAUUUCUGAUAUUUUGUGUCAGUGGUGAAAGUCUACUGGACACAGUUCAAACUAUGGCAUUUUAUACAGAAUACAUUAUCCGUACAAAGGCUGAAACUAAAGACUUUUGAAAUGUGAAAUAUGAAAUUCACAAUGAAAAUAAUUAUGAUGCUUAACACCAGAAAGCAAAGAGAGCAAGUAAUUUUAACUGUUUUACGUGAACUCCUUUGGAAGUUAUUGGCAAUCGUGGAAGGAAAAGAAAUAAGCAAGCAAAACCUUUGAGAAGCAGAAGGGUAAACAUUUCGUGUCACUGAGUCAUAGACGGUCAGGAUUUAAAAAAAAAGAAUUCCUUAGCAAAGGCCAAAUUCAGUCUCAUAAAUGCCCAUAAUUCUCUCCAUCCUUAUCUACACUGAUUAUUACUCUCGGGAAACCCACACCUGGUAUCUGGUGUCUUCUCUUUUUCCUCCGCCCCAUGCUCCUCCUCCUCCUUCUUCCCCCUCCUCCUUGUGCUCCUCCUCCCCUUCUUCCUCCUCCUCCUUGUGAUCCUCCUCCCCUUCUUUCCCCUCCUCCUUGUGCUCCUCCUCCCCUUCUUCCCCCUCCUCCUUGUGCUCCUCCUCCCCUUCUUCCCCCUCCUCCUUGUGCUCCUCCUCCUCCUUCUCCCUCCUCCUUGUGCUCCUCCUCCCCUUCCCCCUCCUCCUUGUGCUCCUCCUCCUUCUUCCCCCUCCUCCUUGUGCUCCUCCUCCUUCUUCCCCCUCCUCCUUGUGCUCCUCCUCCCCUUCUUCCCCCUCCUCCUUGUGCUCCUCCUCCUUCUUCCCCCUCCUCCUUGUGCUCCUCCUCCCCUUCUUCCCCCUCCUCCUUGUGCUCCUCCCCUUCUUCCCCCUCCUCCUUGUGAUCCUCCUUCUUCCCCCUCCUCCUUGUGCUCCUCCUCCCCUCCUUCCCCCUUCUCCUUGUGCUCCUCCUCCUCCUUCUUCCCCCUCCUCCUUGUGAUCCUCCUUCUUCCCCCUCCUCCUAGUGCUCCUCCUCCCCUUGCUCCCCCUCCUCCUUGUGCUCCUCCUCCUCCUUCUUCCCCCUCCUCCUUGUGAUCCUCCUCCUCCUUCUUCCCCCUCCUCCUAGUGCUCCUCCUCCCCUUCUUCCCCCUCCUCCUUGUGUUCCUCCUCCCCUUCUUUCCCCCUCCUCCUUGUGCUCCUCCUCCUCCUUCUUCUCCCUCCUCCUUUUGCUCCUCCUCCCCUUCUUCCCCCUCCUCCUUCUGCUCCUCCUCCUUCUUCAGUCGAGGUGUGGUUGUCGUUAUGUAUUGUGGUGCUAACUUUAGUACCUGCAGGCCUAGGCAUAGGCGUGAAUUCUCGUAUUUACCAGCUUUUGUUGUGCAAACCUCGCUCCUUAAUUUAAAACUAUUGGUUAAAUUAAAAUGGCUUCAGCCAUUACUGGGGGAUUAGAGAUAUGUGGGUUUUGAUUAAUUUGUUGGGGGUGAAGAGCAUCAAUAAGAGAGGAGAACAAGGAGGAGAGAGAAGAAGGCACCAUGAGGAGAGAUGGACCAUGAACUCAUGGCCAGAACAAACAGCAAGUAUCUGGGUAACACCGCUGGGGAGGGAGCCAAGCCAGCAAAUAGAGAAGUAGAUUAGGGGUUGCCCCAUACUAAUUGUCAACAUCAAAUAAAAUGACCAUACCUCUCCCUCUUCCUUCAUUUUUUUAAAACAAUCUAGGUACCGGAGUGAAGCAGAUAAUAGAAAUUACAACGGCAAUAGUUAAUAACAGUUCUUGUCAUUUACAGAGGACGUCGAGCACUAACUAUGGAAUAAAUUCCGAGGGACGGCAA
This is a non-coding RNA of Rattus norvegicus (Norway rat), 3507 nucleotides long. NCBI's taxonomy places the organism in Eukaryota, Metazoa, Chordata, Mammalia, Rodentia, Muridae. The record is from RefSeq and is a predicted model, not a curated record.